GGAAUGCGGCUGCCUCGUGCUACUGACAAUCUAGAAGGACUGGCUUCUCUACUGCAUCCCUGACUUCUUGGGAUUUUGCUUCGUUUUUGUGCAGCUGCAGGGUUCACUAACACUCUCUGAACCCCUGUGUUCAUAGUGGAAAGCGUAGUUGUUGUCAAAACUCUUCCAGGAGAUCCAGAUCUACUGCCAGGCUGAGACUGAGAGACCACUUUGGUUCUACUCCGUCCUCUGGAAUCUGUUUUAGAAUUUCCAAUGCCAAGAGAAGGUGUUGAAAGCUUUGUUCGUAUACGACCUAGUGAAGCAUAAGAUCCUGGAGGCAGACCAGCUGCUGACAAGCGCCCACCUCCAGCUGUCUGUCCAGAAGCAUGGCGGGCCUUUGCCCCUGCAGCAGCAUUAACAUCAAUGUCACUGCGAGACCUUUGCAGAGUUCCUGGGCUUGGAACACUCUUGCUGCUGCCCGAAACUCUGCCUGCAAAGCUGGCUGGG
RNAcentral lists this long non-coding RNA (486 nucleotides) under Gallus gallus (chicken). Lineage: Eukaryota; Metazoa; Chordata; Aves; Galliformes; Phasianidae. The record is from RNAcentral.